This 439-nucleotide ribosomal RNA is filed under the name uncultured bacterium. RNAcentral describes it as "bacterial SSU rRNA". It matches the Rfam family "Bacterial small subunit ribosomal RNA", at positions 954 to 1392 of the family's 1533-position model. The record is from RNAcentral.
GCAAAACGCGAAGAACCUUACCAGGCCUUGACAUGCAGAGAACUUUCCAGAGAUGGAUUGGUGCCUUCGGGAACUCUGACACAGGUGCUGCAUGGCUGUCGUCAGCUCGUGUCGUGAGAUGUUGGGUUAAGUCCCGUAACGAGCGCAACCCUUGUCCUUAGUUACCAGCACGUUAUGGUGGGCACUCUAAGGAGACUGCCGGUGACAAACCGGAGGAAGGCGGGGAUGACGUCAAGUCAUCAUGGCCCUUACGGCCUGGGCUACACACGUGCUACAAUGGUCGGUACAGAGGGUUGCCAAGCCGCGAGGUGGAGCUAAUCUCACAAAACCGAUCGUAGUCCGGAUCGCAGUCUGCAACUCGACUGCGUGAAGUCGGAAUCGCUAGUAAUCGCGAAUCAGAAUGUCGCGGUGAAUACGUUCCCGGGUCUUGUACACACCG